Molecule: long non-coding RNA, 938 nt
Organism: Oncorhynchus tshawytscha (Chinook salmon)
Lineage: Eukaryota; Metazoa; Chordata; Actinopteri; Salmoniformes; Salmonidae
Source: Ensembl
UGGGGUACAGGUUAGUCGAGGUAGGUGGGGUACAGGUUAGUCGAGGUCGGUAGGGGUACAGGUUAGUCGAGGUCAGUAGGGGUACAGGUUAGUCGAGGUAGGUAGGGGUACAGGUUAGUCGAGGUAGGUAGGGUACAGGUUAGUCGAGGUAGGUGGGGUACAGGUUAGUCGAGGUCGGUAGGGGUACAGGUUAGUCGAGUUAGGUGGGGUACAGGUUAGUCGAGGUAGGUAGGGGUACAGGUUAGUCGAGGUCGGUAGGGGUACAGGUUAGUCAAUAUGUGGGGGUACAGGUUAGUCGAGGUCAGUAGGGGUACAGGUUAGUCGAGGUAGGUAGGGGUACAGGUUAGUCGAGGUAGGUAGGGUACAGGUUAGUCGAGGUAGGUGGGGUACAGGUUAGUCGAGGUCGGUAGGGGUACAGGUUAGUCAAUAUGUGGGGGUACAGGUUAGUCGAGGUCGGUAGGGGUACAGGUUAGUCGAGGUAGGUAGGGGUACAGGUUAGUCGAGGUAGGUAGGGUACAGGUUAGUCGAGGUAGAUGGGGUACAGGUUAGUCGAGUUAGGUGGGGUACAGCAUAGUCGAGGUAGGUAGGGGUACAGGUUAGUCGAGGUCGGUAGGGGUAUAGGUUAGUCAAUGUGUGGGGGUACAGGUUAGUCAAGGUCGGUAGGGGUACAGGUUAGUCAAUGUGCGGGGGUACAGGUUAGUCGAGGUCGGUAGGGGUACAGGUUAGUCAAUGUGCGGGGGUACAGGUUAGUCGAGGUCGGUAGGGGUACAGGUUAGUCAAUGUGCGGGGGUACAGGUUAGUCGAGGUAGGUGGGGUAUACUCCUCAAUGCCAUUAGAUAAAUCACGGCACAUAUUCCAGUCUAUGCAAAACAGUCCUGUAGCAUAGCAUCUGCGUCACCUGACCCCUUCCAUAUUGAGAAAGUCACUGGUACUUCCUG